AUGAGGGCCUGGUCUCUGCUUCUAAGGUGGUGUCUUGAAGAUUUCACUGUCUGGAGAGGAGAAAUCCUGUGUCUUCAGAUGGCAACAGAGCAGAAGACAGGGCAGACCGGCAGCAACAGCAUUGCUUGGGAACAUCUUAGAAUGCAGAAUCUCAGACCCCACCCCAAGCUGCUGAAUCGGCACCUGCAUCUAAACAAGCAAACAUCUCAAGCCUCCAUGUGCACUGGGAGCUCUGCAGAGAAAUCGAGCAGUGAGAAGUAAGUCCAGCUAAGAGAUAUUUUGUGAUGCUCACUAUGGGAUAAGAACCAAAUAUCUCUGAUGGCGAGUGAUGUUGAGCAUUUUUUCAUGUGUCUGUUGGCUGUAUGAAUGUCUUCUUUUGAGAAAUGUCUGUUCAUAUCCUUUGCCCACUUUUUGAUGGGGUUGUUUUUUUCUUGUAAAUUUGAUUGAGUUCUUUGUAGGUUCUGGAUAUUAGCCCUUUGUCAGAUGAGUAGAUUGCAAAAAUUUUCCCCCAUUCUGUAGGUUGCCUGUUCACUCCCGUGGUAGUUUCUUUUGCUGUGCAGAAGCCAUAAAAAAGGAUGAGUUUGUGUCCUUUGUAGGGACAUGGACGCAGCUGGAAACCAUCAUCCUCAGCAAAGUAUGGCAAGAACAGAAAACCAAAUACUGCAUGUUCUCACUCAUAGGUGGGAAUUGACCAAUGAGAUCACUUGGACACAGGAAGGGGAACAUCACACACCAGGUCCUAUCAUGGGGAGGGGGGAGGGGGGAAGGAUAGCAUUAGGAGAUAUACCUAAUGUAAAUGACGAGUUAAAGGGUGCAGCACACCCACAUGGCACACGUAUACAUAUGUAACAAACCUGCACGUUGUGCACAUGUACCCUAGAACUUAAAGUAUUAAAAAAAACAAAAACAAAAAAACAAGUAUCUGCAGAAACUGGAAGCUUGCUGCUGGCACUGACUCACUGGAGAGUGUGUGAAAGGAACAGAGCAGGCAAUAGAAUAUGCUCGUGACUGAAUCCACAUAUCAAUGUUGAUUUUUAAUAUGUCCAAACAUGGUUUCUUGCAAUGAGCCUUUCACUUAAUAAAUCAAAUUGAGGCUGGGCUCAGUGGCUCACACCUGUGAUUCUAGCACAUUGAAAGGCCAAGACAGGAGGAUCGCUUGAGCCCAGGAGCUAGAGACCAGCAACACAGUGAGACCCCAUCUGUAAAAAAGAUUAAAAAAUUAGGCCGGACACAGUGGCUCACACUUGUAAUCCCAGCAUUUUGGGAGGCCGAGGUGAGCACAUCACCUGAGGUCAGGAGUUUGAGACCAGCCUGGCCAACAUGGCGAAACCCCGUCUCUAAUAAAAAUUAGCCAGGCGUAGUGGUGGGCACCUGUAAUCCCAACUAUUGGGGACUACUGGGGAGGCUGAGGCAGGGGAAUCGCUUGAACGCGGGAGGUGGAGGUUGCAGUGAGCUGAGAUCGUGCCACUGUACUCUAGCCUGGGAGACAGAGCAAGACUCAGUCUCAAAAAAAAAAAAAAAAAAAAAUCAGCCGGGUGUGGGGACACAUGCCUGUAGUCCCAGCUGCUUGGAAGGCUUAGGUGGGGAGGAUCACUUGAGCCCAGGAUUUUGAGGCUGUGAUUGUGCCACUGUACUCAAGCAUGGUGGCAGAGUAAAACCCUGUCUCUAAAAAGGAAAAAUCAUAAUGAAAUCAUAUUGAGAAGAAAUGCAUUUUAAAUCUUCAUAUGGAUGAAUUCCUUAGAGUAGUAAAACAGUCAGUUUUACACUGAAUGUGCUUAAAAUACCGACAGCUACAAUCGUUAUACCUUGUAGCACCAAGAAUAGCAGCUGCCUUCGUGGAGGGAAGGCCACCUGAGCAGUUUCAUCUGUGUGGCCCUUCAUUUGGCCUCGCUGACUCAUGGCAUCACCAUUUUUCACAUGCUGUUUGGUUCACUUUAAGGGUGAUCUGAAAGUGCCAGAUAUGAGGUUCUGAUCUUACCAAAAACAAAAACAUCAGCAAACAAUGACAACAACAACAAAAAAGCCGGAAGCGGCUCACAUGGUGGAAAGUUACCAAAAGAGGCAAAGGGUAUAGCAAAGCUUAGUGAUUAGGCACAGGGGCUCUAGAGCCCAGCCUUGUGGGUUCAAACCGAGGCUUUGCCACUUACUAGCUGUGUGUCCUUAGCAAGUGACUUAAUCUCUCUGUACUUCAUUUUCUUCAUUUCUAAAGUGAGGAUGACAAUGAUAGUCCCUACCUCGCAGGGGUUUUGAGAGGAUAAAAUGAGUUAUUACGUAUGAGGCUUUUAAUUCUGGCCGACUAUAGUUGCUCUAUGAUACUUAUUAAAUGUACAGGUUAAGAAACAUAAGGAUUUACAUUGUUUUUUACAUUUUUGUUUGUUUUUAUUUUUUAGAGACAGGGAUCUUGCUCUGUUGUCCAGGCUGGUCUUGACUUUCUGGCCUCAAGCGAUCCUCCCACUUCAGCUUAUGAGUAGCUGAGGAUUUAUAUUCUUUUGCAUAGCUCAACCCCAGGAAAAACCUGAAAGAUAAUAUCUCAAGCUCUGAUGCUGUGGUUGAGUCAAUUUGGUGAAUAAACUUCUCUAAAGAGGAUGGGUCAUAACUCUCAGUUGUGUAGCUGAGUAACGGGAAGUAAGAUGUCAUUUGGAACAAUGAUAAAAAGGACAUAAAUUAAUGAAGAGGACUAUUUUUAAAAAAGGAAAAAAAAAAGCACUAACAGUUGAUAAUUCAAUAAUAACCUGAGUAGUUAACAAUAAUCAAUAAGGAGUUUAGAAAAGCCCCAGUUCUAAAGAAAAGGAUUGGAUACAUUAAAUUCGGAAAAAUAGGCUUGUGCCGACUAUUUACACAUAACAGAAUUCAUAUUAGAAUAUUGUUUUUUAAAUGCUCUCAACAGACAAAAUGAAAAAUAAAACUUCCCCCACCCCUUCUUUGGUAAAUGGAAGGAGAUGUCCCCAGCAGCCUUAUUCAGAGGGUGUCCCUGAUCUCGAGGUUCUGUCUCUUGGGGCAUGUGGGUCCCCCCAGCCACAUAAUCCGAACAUACUAGAAGCAUGCACAGGAAAAUAGAACCCAGGCUGUGUCCUCCACACCCAGAGCUUCCAUGAAACCACAGGGAGCCGUACACAAGGAUCACAUCACAUCCCCAAAUCACACAUUUCAAAUGGGAAAAACAGCCUGGAGAGAAGUUUCUCCCUCCUAAUUUGAAAGAAAGUUGCCUCUGGUCAAUCCUUAUCCACUUCUUUUGUUGGUUCCUUCUUUUCUUGGCUAUCUUUUAAAGUAAAAGUCUCCUGUCCUUGACUUUCUUCUCUGUCACCACCCCCUUCCUCGAAAACCUCAUUCUCAUUUGCUUUUGUAUCUCCAACGUAGACCUCUUUCCCGAACUCCAGACUCAUUGUACACAAGUGUCUACCCUUCCUCCGGCAUAUCUCUCAGAUAUCUGAAACCUAUCACAUCCAAAGGUGAACUUCUGAUCUUCUCCCCAAACCUCCCCCUUCUAAAUCUCAGUGGAGAGCAACUUGAAGCUUCGAGAUAUCCAUGCCAAAAGCCUCAGAGCCCUUUCUAAGUCUCCUCUGUCACAUCCAGCAUUGGAUCCACCAGGAAAUCGUGAUUCAGAAAUUAUCCAGAAUGUGACCACGUCUCACCACCUCCGCUGCUGAACCACCCUGGUCUGUAUCUUUCCUGGAUUAUGACACCAGCCUCCUAAUCUUUUGAAAACAUUACUCAGAUCAUGUCACUCCUCUGCUGAAAACCCUGCAUGGUUCCAUAUUCUUUUUUUCUUUUUUUUGAGGUGGAGUUUCACUCUUGUUGCCCAGGCUGGAGUGCAAUGAUACGAUCUCAGCUCACAACCUCCACCUCCCAGGUUCAAGUGAUUCUCCUGCCUCAGCCUCCUGAAUGGCUGGGAUUACAGGCGCCCCCCACCAUGUCCGGCUAAUUUCUUGUAUUUUUAGUAGAGAUGGGGUUUCACCACGGUGGCCAGGCUGGUCUCAAACUCCUGACCCCGGGUGAUCCACCCGCCUCAGCCUCCCAUAAUGCUGGGAUUACAGGUGUGAGCCACUGUACCUGGCGGGU
RNAcentral lists this long non-coding RNA (4059 nucleotides) under Papio anubis (olive baboon). RNAcentral's name for it is "lncRNA (ENSPANG00000045783.1)". The record is from RNAcentral. Lineage: Eukaryota; Metazoa; Chordata; Mammalia; Primates; Cercopithecidae.